Non-coding RNA from Myotis lucifugus (little brown bat), 126 nucleotides. Lineage: Eukaryota; Metazoa; Chordata; Mammalia; Chiroptera; Vespertilionidae. The record is from Rfam.
CGUGCACCGGUGGGGUCCCUCGGCCUGGCCUGCGCCCUGUUGCAAUCCAGGACCUCUCGGGGGAUGUCAGAGAGAUGGUUUCGGCCCGGUCCUGCAGGCCAGGCUGAGGGACCCCACUGGUGCACG